RNAcentral lists this ribosomal RNA (459 nucleotides) under uncultured bacterium. RNAcentral's name for it is "bacterial SSU rRNA". It matches the Rfam family "Bacterial small subunit ribosomal RNA", at positions 8 to 467 of the family's 1533-position model. The record is from RNAcentral.
AGAGUUUGAUCCUGGCUCAGAUUGAACGCUGGCGGCAUGCCUUACACAUGCAAGUCGAACGGCAGCACGGGAGCAAUCCUGGUGGCGAGUGGCGAACGGGUGAGUAAUAUAUCGGAACGUGCCCAGUCGUGGGGGAUAACGUAGCGAAAGCUACGCUAAUACCGCAUACGAUCUAUGGAUGAAAGCGGGGGAUCGCAAGACCUCGCGCGAUUGGAGCGGCCGAUAUCAGAUUAGCUAGUUGGUGGGGUAAAGGCCCACCAAGGCGACGAUCUGUAGCUGGUCUGAGAGGACGACCAGCCACACUGAAACUGAGACACGGUCCAGACUCCUACGGGAGGCAGCAGUGGGGAAUUUUGGACAAUGGGCGCAAGCCUGAUCCAGCAAUGCCGCGUGCAGGACGAAGGCCUUCGGGUUGUAAACUGCUUUUGUACGGAACGAAAAGGUCUGCCCUAAUACGGC